Molecule: ribosomal RNA, 253 nt
Filed under: uncultured bacterium
Lineage: Bacteria
Description: partial 16S ribosomal RNA
Rfam family: Bacterial small subunit ribosomal RNA
Source: RNAcentral
UACGUAGGGUGCGAGCGUUGUCCGGAAUUAUUGGGCGUAAAGGGCUCGUAGGCGGUUUGUCGCGUCGGGAGUGAAAACAUCCAGCUUAACUGGGUGCUUGCUUUCGAUACGGGCAGACUUGAGGUAUGCAGGGGAGAAUGGAAUUCCUGGUGUAGCGGUGAAAUGCGCAGAUAUCAGGAGGAACACCGGUGGCGAAGGCGGUUCUCUGGGCAUUACCUGACGCUGAGGAGCGAAAGUGUGGGGAGCAAACAGG